AGUCAAUGAUCAAAAGAUUGANCCAGUUAUCUAUAAUAAUGAAAAAAAUUAAAUUAAUUAAUAAAUAAAUAAAAAAAUAAAUUAAUAAAAAAUUUUUAAUUGGUAAAAAAUAAAGUUAUAGGAUAGUGAAAAUAAUGAUAGUAGCUAAAAUCUGAUAGUUACAACUAAAAUAUGUGCCAGCAGUUGCGGUUAGACAUAGGUAGCAAGUAUUAGUCAUAUUGGUUUAAAGGAUCCGUAGAAUAUAUAUAUAAAGAUAUAUAGAGUUAAUAAAAGUAAUAAAUGAAUUAUAAAAGUAAUGAUGAAAUAUAAUAAUAUUUAUAGGACAGACAAGUUCGAAAGUUUUUAUUAUUUAUUAACUGACAUUGAGGGAUGAAGGCUAAAAUAAUGACAUGGAUUCGAUACCCAAUUAAUUUUAGCAGUAAACUAUGAAUACCAUUUAUUAAAAAAAAAUAAUAAAUAAGAGAAAUCAAUAGUAUUCCACCAGGAGAGUAUAAUUACUAAAUUAAAACCCAAUACAAUAGACGGUUAUAAUCAAUAGCAGUGGAGUAUGUUAU
RNAcentral lists this ribosomal RNA (554 nucleotides) under Phaffomyces antillensis. RNAcentral's name for it is "partial small subunit ribosomal RNA". It matches the Rfam family "Bacterial small subunit ribosomal RNA", at positions 366 to 945 of the family's 1533-position model. Lineage: Eukaryota; Fungi; Ascomycota; Saccharomycetes; Phaffomycetales; Phaffomycetaceae. The record is from RNAcentral.